GGCAAGGUAGUUUAUAUAAAAUGUUUGUUUUACACACAAAAGUAGAAUAUUUUUCUAUUGUCA
Molecule: transfer RNA, 63 nt
Filed under: Cotylurus marcogliesei
Lineage: Eukaryota; Metazoa; Platyhelminthes; Trematoda; Diplostomida; Strigeidae
Description: tRNA-Val
Source: RNAcentral